UACGAAGGGGGCUAGCGUUGUUCGGAUUUACUGGGCGUAAAGCGCACGUAGGCGGAUCGUUAAGUCGGGGGUGAAAUCCUGGAGCUCAACUCCAGAACUGCCUUCGAUACUGGCGAUCUUGAGUCCGGAAGAGGUGAGUGGAACUCCUAGUGUAGAGGUGGAAUUCGUAGAUAUUCGGAAGAACACCAGUGGCGAAGGCGGCUCACUGGCCCGGUACUGACGCUGAAAUACGAAAGCGUGGGGAGCAAACAGGG
This 254-nucleotide ribosomal RNA is filed under the name uncultured bacterium. RNAcentral's name for it is "partial 16S ribosomal RNA". It matches the Rfam family "Bacterial small subunit ribosomal RNA", at positions 524 to 777 of the family's 1533-position model. The record is from RNAcentral.